CGUGAAAUUGUUGAAAGGGAAGCGCUUGUGACCAGACUUGGGCGCGGCGGAUCAUCCGGGGUUCUCUCCGGUGCACUUCGCCGCGUCUAGGCCAGCAUCAGUUCGUCGCGGGGGAAAAAGGUUUCGGGAACGUGGCUCCUCCGGGAGUGUUAUAGCCCGUUGCAUAAUACCCUGCGGUGGACUGAGGACCGCGCAUCUGCAAGGAUGCUGGCAUAAUGGUCACCAGCGACCCGUCUUGAAACACGG
RNAcentral lists this ribosomal RNA (246 nucleotides) under Trichoderma spirale. Its description in RNAcentral is "partial large subunit ribosomal RNA". It matches the Rfam family "Eukaryotic large subunit ribosomal RNA", at positions 398 to 664 of the family's 3401-position model. Lineage: Eukaryota; Fungi; Ascomycota; Sordariomycetes; Hypocreales; Hypocreaceae. The record is from RNAcentral.